UAUGCCUUGGGUUUUAAUUGCCCAGAUGUU
This 30-nucleotide non-coding RNA is filed under the name Rattus norvegicus (Norway rat). The record is from RNAcentral. Lineage: Eukaryota; Metazoa; Chordata; Mammalia; Rodentia; Muridae.